Molecule: small nuclear RNA, 107 nt
Organism: Homo sapiens (human)
Lineage: Eukaryota; Metazoa; Chordata; Mammalia; Primates; Hominidae
Source: Ensembl
GUGCUCACUUCAGCAGCACAUAUACUAAAAUUGAAAUGAUACAGGGAAAAUUAGCAUGGCCCCUGCACAAGGAUGACACAUAAAUUUGUGAAGCAUUCCAUGUUGUU